This 2150-nucleotide long non-coding RNA is filed under the name Callithrix jacchus (white-tufted-ear marmoset). RNAcentral describes it as "lncRNA (ENSCJAG00000084666.1)". The record is from RNAcentral. Lineage: Eukaryota; Metazoa; Chordata; Mammalia; Primates; Cebidae.
AUCUAUCUUAUUUUUCAUAUUAAGAUAAACAGAACCAGAACAUGUGUUUCUACUUUUUGUAUCCUAUAUACUGGAGAGAAACCAACUUUUGCGACCCAGCUAUCUGCAUGUUCAAGUCAAGUAAACAAACUUGAAAUCCAAGCAGCACCUCUGCUGGAGGACCAGAAAUAUCUCCAAGAGCACCAGCAACCCCAGCUAUCUAGACCCGAAGUGGAUAUACUCAGAGGCAUCCUGGCCUACCCCACCCCUGACCCCAGAGAAGAUGCUGCUGCCCUCAGAAGACGCCAGAGCCAGCCACACUGCAAGUCUGGGAGGAUCGAGCAAGGCAGGCUGCUCAGUGAAGGCUUCCUCUCCUGUAGCAGGAAGAGCAUCGUUAAGAACAAGUAUGCAGGGCUGGACUACUCUGGAGAUGUAAUGACCAGAGCUGAGACCCCCGAGACCAGAGUGACUAUGAAGGACUGUCGUCACCUUGUUCCUGAACAUCUAAUGCCUCUCAGCUCCAGGAGGCCACUGAGGAGAAACCGAAGGCUAGUUUUCCUUGGAAGCCAGCAGCCUGUCCACCUGUUCCACUUCCCUGCCUCUUGCAGCCUCCGCUCAAACACUACCAUGGUUUGGGAGCACGGAAAAACUAGAAAAUACAGAAAUAUAUCAAGAAGAAAGAAAUUUAAAAAUCAACCUGAAUCCCACCAACCAGAGACAGCUAUUAAUGAUUGUGGUAUAUUUAUUGUAAGUCUCUUUAUUUCUCUCUUUAUGCAAACACAUUUUUAAAGAAUGUAAAGUAUUAUAUUGUUUAUACAACUUUAAAUCCUGCUUUUCGCUUAUUACAAUUAGGACUUUCUUCAUGUUAAUAAUAUUUCCUGAAAACAUAAAUAUCUAAUGGUUACAUCAUAUUUAUUCACUUUCCCUUGUUGAUGAACAUUUAGGUUGCUUUUAUUUUUUCUUGCUUAUAUAAAAUGAGCACUCUUGAACAUAAAUACAUGCUAACAGCUCUGGAAAUUACUCCAUGCCUUUAUUCUUUUUUUUUUUUUUUUCGUGACAGGAUCUCACUUUGUCACCCAGGUGGGAGUACAAUGGCAUGAUCUCUGCCUCCCAGUUUCAAGCCAUUCUCGUGCCUCAGCCUCCUGAGUAGCUGGGGCCACAGGCAUGCGCCACCACGCCUGGCUAAUUUUUGCAUUUUUUGGUAGAGAUGGGUUUUCACCGUGUUGGCCAGGCUGGUCUCAAACUCCUGGCCUCAAGAGAUCCACCCAUCUCAGCCUCCCAAAGUGCUGGGAUUACAGGUGUGAGCCAUUGCACCCAGCCAUGCUCUUAUUCUUGAUCACCUUCCCUGCCUUUGGAGUGGUUAUGGAGAUGUAAAGUAUGCCUAAGAUCCUGAUGAUAGAACAGAUGGUUUAUUUGUGGCAAGGAUAUUUUGCAUUGAUCAAUUGCAUUUAAUCAAUUAAUUACUUUUUCAACACGAAUUUACUAAAGUCAUGUAUGCUAGGCACUGUGGAGGGACUGCAAAAAGAUUUCAAGUACUGCACCAUCUUGUUGGAAAGAUGCCUAGACAGCAUUUGAGAAACCCUGAUCGUGUUUGAUGACACAUAACUGCUAACAGUUACAUGGAACUUUCUAUAUGCUGUAUAUAAACAAAAAAAUGUAUGUAUGUAUAUUUACUUAACCCUCACAACAGCUACAGUUAUUAUCAUGAACCCUGUUCUAAUGUGAGAAAACCAAAACAUGGAGAGGUUAAGUAAUUUGCCCAAGACUACACAGCUAAUAUUGGUGGAACUGUGAUUAGGAUCCAGGCAUUCAGGUUCCAGAGUUCAUACUCUUCAUAUACCACCUGUAUCUUGAAUAUAACAAUAUAGAGAAAAAUAAUUACAGAAAAUAUAUGUCUAGGUAAGCAUUUUCCAGAGGUGACUGUUUUUUUUUUUUUUUUUUUACAUUGGAUUUUUAAACUUUCAACAAUAAAGCAGGUUGGACUUUAUAUCAAAGCUAUUCUGAUGUCACCUUUCCCAAUGUUAAGGAUGUUAAUGAGAAUUGCUAAUCCAAGAGAAGCAAAUAAUCGCAUCUGAUUUGGGUAAGUCAAUUAUUUGAAAGUAGAAGAAUCACCCUUCCACCUAAGGAACCUCUGAGGGAAGUACUGGAAAAAUAAUGCUUUGUAAUAAGCC